Molecule: ribosomal RNA, 997 nt
Filed under: human gut metagenome
Description: bacterial LSU rRNA
Rfam family: Bacterial large subunit ribosomal RNA
Source: RNAcentral
CCGUAACUAUAACGGUCCUAAGGUAGCGAAAUUCCUUGUCGGGUAAGUUCCGACCUGCACGAAUGGCGUAAUGAUGGCCAGGCUGUCUCCACCCGAGACUCAGUGAAAUUGAACUCGCUGUGAAGAUGCAGUGUACCCGCGGCAAGACGGAAAGACCCCGUGAACCUUUACUAUAGCUUGACACUGAACACUGGUCCUUGAUGUGUAGGAUAGGUGGGAGGCUUUGAAGUGUGGACGCCAGUCUGCAUGGAGCCGUCCUUGAAAUACCACCCUUUAAUGGCUGGUGUUCUAACGUAGACCCGUAAUCCGGGUUGCGGACAGUGUCUGGUGGGUAGUUUGACUGGGGCGGUCUCCUCCCAAAGAGUAACGGAGGAGCACGAAGGUUAGCUAAUCCUGGUCGGACAUCAGGAGGUUAGUGCAAUGGCAUAAGCUAGCUUGACUGCGAGAGUGACGGCUCGAGCAGGUGCGAAAGCAGGUCAUAGUGAUCCGGUGGUUCUGAAUGGAAGGGCCAUCGCUCAACGGAUAAAAGGUACUCCGGGGAUAACAGGCUGAUACCGCCCAAGAGUUCAUAUCGACGGCGGUGUUUGGCACCUCGAUGUCGGCUCAUCACAUCCUGGGGCUGAAGUAGGUCCCAAGGGUAUGGCUGUUCGCCAUUUAAAGUGGUACGCGAGCUGGGUUUAGAACGUCGUGAGACAGUUCGGUCCCUAUCUGCCGUGGGCGCUGGAGAAUUGAGGGGGGCUGCUCCUAGUACGAGAGGACCGGAGUGGACGCAUCACUGGUGUUCGGGUUGUCAUGCCAAUGGCACUGCCCGGUAGCUAAAUGCGGAAAAGAUAAGUGCUGAAAGCAUCUAAGCACGAAACUUGCCCCGAGAUGAGUUCUCCCUGAGACUUUAAGUCUCCUGAAGGAACGUUGAAGACGACGACGUUGAUAGGCCGGGUGUGUAAGCGCAGCGAUGCGUUGAGCUAACCGGUACUAAUGAACCGUGAGGCUUAACCUU